Long non-coding RNA from Ochotona princeps (American pika), 2686 nucleotides. RefSeq lists it as uncharacterized. The record is from RefSeq and is a predicted model, not a curated record. Lineage: Eukaryota; Metazoa; Chordata; Mammalia; Lagomorpha; Ochotonidae. The transcript has 4 exons.
CCAUGGUGAGCAGCUUCCAUGCAGGAACCUGGAGUCUGAUGGAGCUCAUGAUUACAGCUGCAGGACUUCUCCAGGCAGACCCCAGCAUCCUCUUGCUGUUUUGGCUUCCUACUGCUUUACUCUGAGGGCCCAGAGGGACCGUGGCAGUACCAGAACUGAGUAGAGAAAGAGUGCCAUCAGCCCAGAGACAAUGAAGACAUGUGGGUCAGAGGCUGUUGCAUCUCCGGAACUACAAGAUUCACAAGUUUUUGUGACAAAAGCCAUACUUACCAUGCCAUUCAAGUUUGACCUCGACAAGAUUAAAGUCUUGUAUUGUAGGUGCAUUUCUGGGGAUCUGGUGCCCUGGCUACCCGAGGAUCUGUCUCCAACAAAGAUUGGUGAUGACAUUGUUUAUCUAGGUAACCAGUGACUUGGAUGAAUUUAGGGAUUACAGUAGAACCUGUCAUUCAGAACUGACAGGCCAGACAGAGGGGGUACCUUGUGCUUCUGACCUGAUCAUCAAAAUUUAGGGAACCAGCUAGAGAAAGAAGCAGGGAAGCAUUAAGCACAGUGGAAACUUCACCUUUGAUGCUGUUGUCAACAUUGCCCAAGAAAAGCAGCACCGAGUUUUGGCCAAAGAACUGUCUGGAACCAUCAGAGACAUCCUGGGGCCUGUGCUGUGAGUGAACAGUGGUGUCAAUGACUGCCACCUUCAUGAUCUCAUAGAUGACCUCAAUAGUAGUGCUGAGGAAUGCCCAGUGAGUCAUGAACCACAAAGGGAAAACUCUCAACAAAGAAUUUUCUGGUAGCCAGAAAAAAAUCUCAGGGGAAACUGUUUAAUUUUGGAAAUGCACCCAGGAAAACAGUGUUAGUCUUCUGCCAGCCCCUAGGAAGGAGAUGCUGUAAAGCCCUUGCUUUGACAAUGGGGAGUGAGGUAGGGGUUCAGAGAGGGGAAGAUGUCAGCCAGCGUCACACAGCAAGUCAUGGGACUAAAGUGCAGUCUGUAGGCAGGGCAGGGGGCCUCUUGGCUUGCUAGCCCCUCCUUUCCAAGCUAGAUUUGAGUCAGAGCUGAGGCAAAUGCUUAGGCAAGGAAAACUGUCUCGCCAGCUUGCUCCACAGGGAAGGAGAGUCCGUGAAAUGAUAUGAAGCCGAAAAUAGCGUGCCUUAGGAAAGAAACUACCAGCCGAUGACUAGUUUGUGGUGGAGGUGUGGGGCCCUCCUCCAGGAAGGUGGGAGUUGAAAAGGGACCAUGAUGCCACUGCCUGAACACUGAAGCUCUGGGCUGGGACUCAGAAUCCGUGUCACAAGAACAGGGUCCCGCUGGAGUAGCUCAAUCUGCAAGCACUUUCCUGCUGGGGUCUGCAGAACAUCCUGACAGAGGCCAUGGCUUGAACAGGGGCCAAGGAUUUAUCCAGAAGCAGCAAGCCCUGUACAAAGACGAUCCUGGAUUUAGAACAGAUGAAAGGUACUUUGAGGGAGUUCAAAGAACGGGCACUUGCUCCCCGAUGGCUGCUUGCUGGAUAUUUUGAGAGGCGACUGGGGCAUGAUUUCCCUCUCUGCUUCUCCCCGGGGUCUUUUCCAACACGGUUUCUCUCCGUUAGUAUAUUCCAGAGCUUUCAAGCUGGAAAGUCUUAAUAUGGAAAUUCCUGCCGCCGUGGGAACAGGCCUCUCCCAGUUGGGGCUUGCUAAAGCUGUUAUUUCGAUAAUGUUAAUGGUGAUGAUUAAUUGGCACUAAUGCUGAAGUUAUGAGGCCAACCUGUUUAGGUCCUUGGGAAGGUGGAGUACCUACACACAGAUGAGGAUGGAGAGAGCGAUGAUGAUGAAAGCAAUGGCGGGGAGCUGCAUUUUGGGAAUUUGCUGUGAAAUGUAGGGAACUCACUUAAGCUUGAACUUCAUUUUCUUGUCUGGCAAAGUAAAUUAUUGGCAGAAAAAAAAAAUCAUCCUCUGGGAAGGGUAAAAGAAACACCUUUUGCCUGUGAUCAAUUCCUGUCCAACCAAAUACUUGGUGUUAAGUAUGUAAAACUCCAUUAUCACCAGCUUUCUGGUGGAUGAUGUAAUGAGCACACCAAGGUGUGCAUUGAGGAACAAACUAAAGCUGAUAUGAAUGGCCACAAAGCAAACCAGUGACUGCUGAAAUGUGGGAGUAAUAUAAAAUGGAGUCACCGUCCUCACUUCUCUGCUUUGAAAGACACCUGGGGGUAGGGAUGAGAAAGCCAACUAGCAAAACCUUCAGGAUUGGAGACAAUCCAUCUGCCUGAGAGUGGGAGCUCCCUCCUCAGGGCAUUUGCUUCCUAAGAGGGUUCUGGAGAGGAAAAUAUUUACCCCAAUAUGGGAUCCAAUGGUAGAUGAGCAUUGAGUAGGCCCCCUUCUCUUCAGACCACAUCAAAUAGGUGACACCACCGGCCUCUUCAUAGAAGGAAUGUCAGUGUUCUUUAAACGGGCAUGUAGGAUGGGAAACCUUGUAGUCACGUUGGAAAAUACAAUCCGCCAUGGAUGAGGUAGGCCCAGAUAUUAACAGGUUCCAAAUGGAUUUUUGCUGAGCAAUCAAUACUUUCAAACCAGGGGUGAUUAGACAGCACUUCAAGGAAACAUGCACAAAUAUGUGUAACAUGAUAGUAGUGGCUAAAAGAGUGUGAAGGGUGCAUGAAUUACCUGUCUUUCAUGAUGGGUAUAGUUUCUGAGAAAUGCGUGCUUAGUCAGUUUCAUC